This 273-nucleotide ribosomal RNA is filed under the name uncultured bacterium. RNAcentral's name for it is "partial 16S ribosomal RNA". It matches the Rfam family "Bacterial small subunit ribosomal RNA", at positions 524 to 796 of the family's 1533-position model. The record is from RNAcentral.
AACGUAUGGGGCGAGCGUUGUCCGGAAUUACUGGGCGUAAAGGGCGCGUAGGCGGUUCUUUAAGUCAGAGGUGAAAACUGUCGGCUCAACCGGCAGCCUGCCUUUGAAACUGGAGGACUUGAGGGCAGGAGAGGGGAGUGGAAUUCCCAGUGUAGCGGUGAAAUGCGUAGAUAUUGGGAGGAACACCAGUGGCGAAGGCGGCUCUAUGGCCUGUUACUGAAGCGGAGGCGCGCAAGCGUGGGGAUCACACAGGAGGCGAUAACACUGUAGUCC